This 373-nucleotide ribosomal RNA is filed under the name uncultured organism. RNAcentral describes it as "partial 16S ribosomal RNA". It matches the Rfam family "Bacterial small subunit ribosomal RNA", at positions 527 to 896 of the family's 1533-position model. The record is from RNAcentral.
AGAGGGUGCGAGCGUUAAUCGGGAAUUACUGGGCGUAAAGCGCACGUAGAUGGCUUUGUAAGUCGGAUGUGAAAGCCCCGGGGCUUAACCUGGGGAACGGCAUUCGAAACUGCAUUGCUCGAAUGUGGAAGAGGGAAGCGGAAUUCCAGGUGUAGCGGUGAAAUGCGUAGAUAUCUGGAGGAACAUCAGUGGCGAAGGCGGCUUCCUGGUCCAACAUUGACAUUCAGGUGCGAAAGCGUGGGGAGCAAACAGGAUUAGAUACCCUGGUAGUCCACGCCAUAAACGAUGAGAACUAGAUGUCGGGUGGGUUAGCCAUCCGGUGUCGCAGCUAACGCGUUAAGUUCUCCGCCUGGGGAGUACGGCCGCAAGGUUG